AACGUAGGACGCAAGCAUUAUCCGGAAUUACUGGGCGUAAAGAGCGCGCAGGCGGGUAUUUAAGUCAGUUAUAAAAGCUCCUGGCUAAACUGGGAGAGGCUAGCUGAUACUGAAUAUCUUGAGUGGAGAAGAGGAAUGUGGAAUUCCGCGUGUAGUGGUGAAAUGCGUAGAUAUGCGGAGGAACACCAGUGGCGAAGGCGACAUUCUGGUCUCUAACUGACGCUGAGGCGCGAAAGCACGGGUAGCGAACGGG
This 253-nucleotide ribosomal RNA is filed under the name uncultured bacterium. Its description in RNAcentral is "partial 16S ribosomal RNA". It matches the Rfam family "Bacterial small subunit ribosomal RNA", at positions 524 to 776 of the family's 1533-position model. The record is from RNAcentral.